GACGAACGCUGGCGGCGUGCUUAACACAUGCAAGUCGAACGGAAAGGCCCUGCUUUUGUGGGGUGCUCGAGUGGCGAACGGGUGAGUAACACGUGAGUAACCUGCCCUUGACUUUGGGAUAACUUCAGGAAACUGGGGCUAAUACCGGAUAGGAGCUCCUGCUGCAUGGUGGGGGUUGGAAAGUUUCGGCGGUUGGGGAUGGACUCGCGGCUUAUCAGCUUGUUGGUGGGGUAGUGGCUUACCAAGGCUUUGACGGGUAGCCGGCCUGAGAGGGUGACCGGCCACAUUGGGACUGAGAUACGGCCCAGACUCCUACGGGAGGCAGCAGUGGGGAAUAUUGCACAAUGGGCGGAAGCCUGAUGCAGCAACGCCGCGUGCGGGAUGACGGCCUUCGGGUUGUAAACCGCUUUCGCCUGUGACGAAGCGUGUGUGACGGUAAUGGGUAAAGAAGCACCGGCUAACUAC
This 465-nucleotide ribosomal RNA is filed under the name uncultured bacterium. RNAcentral's name for it is "partial 16S ribosomal RNA". It matches the Rfam family "Bacterial small subunit ribosomal RNA", at positions 28 to 504 of the family's 1533-position model. The record is from RNAcentral.